Macaca mulatta (Rhesus monkey) is the source of this 485-nucleotide non-coding RNA. The record is from RefSeq and is a predicted model, not a curated record. Lineage: Eukaryota; Metazoa; Chordata; Mammalia; Primates; Cercopithecidae.
CCACCACCAUGGAAAACACCUGAGCCGUCCUGCUGGAGAGGUCCCGUGGAAGUGCACUGAGGCUCCCUGGCCUAGAGCCGAGGAAGGGAAGCAUGGAAGAGAUGGUGCUUAUGUUCACCUGCUGCUACCAAAUGCUGACAUUCGCUCGGACUGAAACAUUAUCCCAGAGGUGUGUUGUGGUAAAGUGGUUCUCAAACAUCUUGGGAGGUGUAAACCUCUUCACACGGGCUCAAGACAUCUCCAGACCAAUUUCCUUCACCCUCCAAAAUCAUAAAUAGAGGCCAUUACAAAUCUCAUCCCCUGAAUGGAUGGGGAGAACAGCACAGAUGGGUGAGCCACAGUGAGAGACGCUAUAAGGAAGUUACUAACCAAAACCCAUUCGGACAGUGUCCUGUUGACUUCUGAAUGUGUCCGGGUCCAGGCAGGAAACAGACGACCCACACAAAUUGGGUCAUUUGAGAAUUUAAUAAAAGAACUUGCAUCUC